UGAGCCCUCAUUAUUGGUCUCCUCUCCACCGACAGCUUGCCUUCUACCCUAAGCCUACUGUGUGGUCUUGAAGAAGCUGCCUAACCUCUCUGAUCCUUCGCUUCCCCACCUGUGAUGGAGAGGAUUACCACACCUACCUCCAAUAGCUGCCCUGAGGAUCUAAUGGCUGCCUUUACUUUGUACCAAGAUGCAAUUCCAGAUUAGAUUGGUUAUUUCUUCAUCCCAGCAGAGGAAGACAAGAGAGCAAAUAAUAAAGCCUGAGGGAACAGAGGGGCAAGAAGCCACAUCACUGCCCUCAAAGAGUCAACAGUUUAUAACGAGACAGAACUGUGAAUGAAUAAAAACCACAGUCAUCGCUUC
Molecule: long non-coding RNA, 360 nt
Organism: Acinonyx jubatus (cheetah)
Lineage: Eukaryota; Metazoa; Chordata; Mammalia; Carnivora; Felidae
Exons: 4
Source: RefSeq, a predicted model, not a curated record